This 429-nucleotide ribosomal RNA is filed under the name Chloroflexota bacterium. RNAcentral describes it as "Chloroflexi bacterium partial 16S ribosomal RNA". It matches the Rfam family "Bacterial small subunit ribosomal RNA", at positions 355 to 776 of the family's 1533-position model. Lineage: Bacteria; Bacillati; Chloroflexota. The record is from RNAcentral.
UGGGGAAUUUUGCACAAUGGGCGCAAGCCUGAUGCAGCCAUGCCGCGUGUAUGAAGAAGGCCUUCGGGUUGUAAAGUACUUUCAGUCGGGAGGAAGGUGUCAAGGUUAAUAACCUUGGCAAUUGACGUUACCGACAGAAGAAGCACCGGCUAACUCCGUGCCAGCAGCCGCGGUAAUACGGAGGGUGCAAGCGUUAAUCGGAAUUACUGGGCGUAAAGCGCACGCAGGCGGUUGAUUGAGUCAGAUGUGAAAUCCCCGGGCUUAACCCGGGAAUUGCAUCUGAUACUGGUCAGCUAGAGUCUUGUAGAGGGGGGUAGAAUUCCAUGUGUAGCGGGGAAAUGCGUAGAGAUCUGGAGGAAUACCGGUGGCGAAGGCGGCCCCCUGGACAAAGACUGACGCUCAGGUGCGAAAGCGUGGGGAGCAAACAGG